RNAcentral lists this ribosomal RNA (1451 nucleotides) under human gut metagenome. RNAcentral's name for it is "bacterial LSU rRNA". It matches the Rfam family "Bacterial large subunit ribosomal RNA", at positions 1104 to 2567 of the family's 2925-position model. The record is from RNAcentral.
GCUUGGAAGCAGCCAUUCAUUUAAAGAGUGCGUAACAGCUCACUAGUCGAGGAGUCGGGCGUGGAUAAUAAUCGGGUAUCAAGUUGUCUACCGAAGCAGUGGGAUCAUUUAUAUGAUCGGUAGGGGAGCAUUCCAGUCAGCGUCGAAGGCGUACCGUGAGGUAUUCUGGAGCGUCUGGAAAAGCAAAUGUAGGUAUAAGUAACGAUAAAGGGGGCGGGAAACCCCCUCGCCGAAAGACUAAGGUUUCCUGAUCAACGCUAAUCGGAUCAGGGUCAGUCGGGUCCUAAGGCUCAGCCGAACGGCGAUGCCGAUGGCAGAAACGGUUAAUAUUCCGUUACUACCUUCAGGAGUGACGUGGAGACGCAGUAGUGACAGUGCCGCCAUCUGACGGAAUAGAUGGUUGAAGGGUGUAGGAGUCGAUCAUGGCAGGCAAAUCCACCAUGAGAUCCGAACCUGACAGUAUGCCGCGUCCUUCGGGACAAGGCAAUAGUGCGCGUAAGCAUGCUGCCGAGAAAAUCCGCUAAACUUAAUCCUGCAGGUACCCGUACCGCAAACGGACACACGUAGUCGGGAUGAAUAUUCUAAGGCGCUUGAGUGAUUCACGGUUAAGGAACUAGGCAAACUGACCCUGUAACUUCGGGAUAAAGGGUCCCUACCCUUUUAUGGGAGGGCGCAGAGAAUCGGUCCAGGCAACUGUUUAACAAAAACACAGGGCUGUGCCAAAUCGAAAGAUCCAGUAUACAGCCUGACACCUGCCCGGUGCUGGAAGGUUAAGAGGAGAUGUCAUCGAUAAGAGAAGCGUUGAAUUGAAGCCCCAGUAAACGGCGGCCGUAACUAUAACGGUCCUAAGGUAGCGAAAUUCCUUGUCGGGUAAGUUCCGACCUGCACGAAUGGUGUAAUGAUCUGGACGCUGUCUCAACCGUGAGCUCAGUGAAAUUGUAGUAUCGGUGAAGAUGCCGAUUACCCGCGAUGGGACGAAAAGACCCCGUGAACCUUUACUAUAGCUUAUCAUUGAAUCUGGGCACGUGAUGUGUAGGAUAGGUCGGAGGCUUUGAAGCAGGUACGCCAGUAUUUGUGGAGCCGCUGUUGAAAUACGACCCUUUAUUUGUUUGGAUUCUAACCCGUGGUACGGGGACAUUGAUUGGUGGGUAGUUUGACUGGGGUGGUCGCCUCCAAAAGCGUAACGGAGGCUUCUAAAGGUGCCCUCCGGCCGAUUGGUAACCGGCCUUAGAGUGUAAUGGCAUAAGGGCGCUUGACUGGGAGACUAACAAGUCGAUCAGGUAGGAAACUAGAGCAUAGUGAUCCGGUGUUUCCGUAUGGAAGGGACAUCGCUCAAAGGAUAAAAGGUACUCCGGGGAUAACAGGCUGAUCCCUCCCAAGAGCUCAUAUCGACGGAGUGGUUUGGCACCUCGAUGUCGGCUCGUCACAUCCUGGGGCUGGAGAAGGUCCCA